Molecule: transfer RNA, 71 nt
Filed under: Danio rerio (zebrafish)
Lineage: Eukaryota; Metazoa; Chordata; Actinopteri; Cypriniformes; Danionidae
Rfam family: tRNA
About the family: Transfer RNA (tRNA) molecules are approximately 80 nucleotides in length. Their secondary structure includes four short double-helical elements and three loops (D, anti-codon, and T loops).
Source: Rfam by way of RNAcentral
GCCCGGCUAGCUCAGUCGGUAGAGCAUGAGACUCAAUCUCAGGGUCGUGGGUUCGUGCCCCACGUUAGGGG